Molecule: ribosomal RNA, 209 nt
Filed under: uncultured bacterium
Lineage: Bacteria
Description: partial 16S ribosomal RNA
Rfam family: Bacterial small subunit ribosomal RNA
Source: RNAcentral
UGCGCAGGUGGGCUGGUAAGGUCGAUGUGAAAGCCCCGGGCUUAACCCGGGAAAGGCAUUGGAUACUACUGGUCUGGAGGAUUGGGAGGGGGGACUGGAAUUCUUGGUGUAGCAGUGAAAUGCGUAGAUAUCAAGAGGAACACCAGUGGCGAAGGCGAGUCCCUGGACAAUACCUGACACUGAGGCACGAAAGCCAAGGGAAGCAAACA